CUUGGAUUCAGGAGCAGUAGUGUCAGCAGAUCUGAGGCUCAGACUAGCUUGGAAACAGAUGCCAUUAAAGCGGAACAGAAUCUACAGUGAACAAGCCGCCACCACAGCUCACAUGGCCGCCAUCUGCUCUAGACAACAGCGUGAAAUAUCAAAGCCUACAAAGGGAUGGACUGGCCUUGCCUAAGGGAGAAAGCCCCAAGAGGCAGUUUGUGAGUCUCCUCAUUGCUGAAACAAUCUUGAGAAAGUGAAAUGUGACUUAUUACCUGCUGGCCUUACUCGUGUGUGAUACAGUCUCGUCUUGGACAAAGUGGAAUGCUUUCUUAGCUUAGUUUCUAAGAAAUGAGUCAUUUCUGAGUGUAGUUCCAACAAACACCCAGACAAUGUGAUAAUAAAAAUAUUUGUCUUUA
Suricata suricatta (meerkat) is the source of this 407-nucleotide long non-coding RNA. RefSeq lists it as uncharacterized. The transcript has 3 exons. The record is from RefSeq and is a predicted model, not a curated record. Lineage: Eukaryota; Metazoa; Chordata; Mammalia; Carnivora; Herpestidae.